GGCAGCAUGGUGAAGUAGUUUAAACAUUGGACUAUGACUCUGGAGACUAGGGUUCGAAUCCCUGCCUGGGCA
This is a non-coding RNA of Phrynosoma platyrhinos (Desert horned lizard), 72 nucleotides long. The record is from the annotation of a GenBank genome assembly. Lineage: Eukaryota; Metazoa; Chordata; Lepidosauria; Squamata; Phrynosomatidae.